Molecule: ribosomal RNA, 253 nt
Filed under: uncultured bacterium
Lineage: Bacteria
Description: partial 16S ribosomal RNA
Rfam family: Bacterial small subunit ribosomal RNA
Source: RNAcentral
UACAGGGGUCUCGAGCGUUAAUCGGAAUCACUGGGCUUAAAGGGUGCGUAGGCGGAUCCGUAAGCGCUUUGUGAAAUCCCCCGGCUCAACCGGGGAACUGCAGGGCGAACUGUGGAUCUUGAGGAAACUAGAGGCCGGUAGAACGAUUGGUGGAGCGGUGGAAUGCGUAGAUAUCAAUCGGAAUGCCAAAAGUGAAGACAGCCGGCUGGGGUUUUCCUGACGCUGAGGCACGAAAGCGUGGGGAGCAAACCGG